This 1987-nucleotide long non-coding RNA is filed under the name Homo sapiens (human). RNAcentral's name for it is "HSALNT0248716". Lineage: Eukaryota; Metazoa; Chordata; Mammalia; Primates; Hominidae. The record is from RNAcentral.
UUUAAACUUCAGCUCAUAUCCCAAGCAGGACUAACACUGGGGGUUGCUGAUAGGAGGAGAAGAGAUUGGGAAAUGGAGGUAGUUAGAGAGAGAGGAACUUUGUUCAAUAUCGUCACUUUUUGCGGGAAAGGAGUAAGUGGGGGAAAAUGCAUCCUCAGCUGAUCCACAGAGAAGACCAACUGUCUUCCCUCCUGAUUACUGACAUUCUCAUCCAUGGGUAAACACAGAAAAGGAAACAAAAGCAGAAAGGUUUCUUGUCAGCAAUUCCAGUAAGAUGUUUCUCCAGCCAGAGACGAGCCUAGAGCCAGCACACUUCAAAGACAAUACAAUCGCCUGUCAGCUGCAGAAUUUCUCCUGGUCCAAGGUGUGUCUGAAUAACAGCUGUGCUGGUGCCUACUGGAGGACAGAAACAUGGCAAAGAGUAAGGGGAAGUGAUGAUAUAGAAUGUGUAAGGUGGGAAUUCAGGAAACAAUGACAGCAAAAGUGAUUUGAGAAACAAAGCCAAAGGAAAAGAGGUCCACUUGGCAAGGGGAUGAAAGUGGCCUUUGGCCAACAGCCAGCAAGGAGCUAAGGCCCUUUAUCCAACAACCCUUGAAGAACUGAAAUCUUCUAACAACCACAUGAGCUUGGAAAUGGAUCCCCGCCUUGACCCUUCAGAUGCGACCCCAGCCCUGGCCAGCGCCUCGAUUGCCACCUUGUGAGAGAUCCUGAAGGAUGGAUCCAGCUAAGCCAUGACCAGCCUGAGUGUUCAGCAGCACGGGGGGCCCACUGCUUGGUCUACACCCAAAAGAAAGGGAAUCCCUGUUUGGAGGGAUGUCUGCACCCCGGGCUCAUGGCAGCACUGUUCACCACAGUCAAGGCGUGGAAGCAAUCUAAGUUCCAUCAACAGAUGAAUGGAUAAAGAAGAAUAUAUAAUACACAAUGGAGUACUCUUCAGCCAUAAAAGAAGAAAGACAUUCUGUCAUUUGUGACAAUGUGAGUGAACCUGGGAGAUAUCAUAUUAAGUGAAAUAAGCUAGGCACAGAAAGACAAAUACCAUGUGAUCUCACUUAUAUGCAGAAACUAAAAAAAUUGAAUUCAUAGAAGCAGAGGGUAAAAUGGGUAAAAUGAUGGCUACUAGGGACUGGGGGAGGGAGACGUUGGUCAAAGGGCAUACAAUUUCAGUUAGACAGGAGGAGUGAUCAAGAGGUCUAUUGUGCAACAUGAUGAUUAUAGUUAAUGAAUUAUAUACUCGAAAAUUGCCAAGAGAGUAGAUUUUAAGUGCUCUUACCACAAAAACGUAAGUAUUUGAGGGAGUGGAUAUGUUAAUUAGCUUAGCAUAGCCAUUAUACAACAUAUAUGUAUUUCAAAACACGUUGAAUGCAAUAAAUUAUACAAUUUUUGUUUGUCAAUUAAAAAAUAAAUAAAUUUAAAAAGUGAAAAUGAAACCCAAGUGCUCUUGUAUUGAGAGCAUUGGGUGGAGGUAGCACUGGAAAAGAGAAAAUAAAGUGCAGACUGGCCCUGAGGGGCCCUUUCUGGGGGAGCAUAGCCCCAAUCCAUUUUUUUUUGUCCUGGGACGGCAGAACUCCCUGGCAGGAACGCCUUGCUUUCCUGUGCAUUCCACAAGCUCUGACAAUCAUCUGAUAAGCACCAAGCCUUUCACUGAAACGGGGAUACUAGGACAGGGCACUAUGAGCUUCCUGACCCUCAGGAGCUCACUGUCUGCUCGGUGGGAGAGUGGGAGGGUGAGGAGGGCCGAUGCCCGCAGAGAGCAGGGUCAGAUAGACAAUUCUGGGCUGGCUCCCUCUGUUCUUUAGAGGGGGCCGUGCCAAGCCUGCCAACUUGGGCUGCAGGGCGUUGUCAGGGAAAACUUCCUGGAGAAGUUGGCCCCGGGGUCAGGCCUGAGGAACAAAGACGAGCUAGAGAGGGAGUGGAGAGGACUGGGGAGUGGAAGCAGUAACGGAGGCCCGCGGGGUCCCCAAGGGCUGGGCGCAGGCAGUCAGCAGGA